Molecule: ribosomal RNA, 700 nt
Filed under: uncultured bacterium
Lineage: Bacteria
Description: bacterial SSU rRNA
Rfam family: Bacterial small subunit ribosomal RNA
Source: RNAcentral
UACCAUGCAAGUCGAGCGAUGAAGUUUCUUCGGAAAUGGAUUAGCGGCGAACGGGUGAGGAACACGUGAAGAAUCUGCCCUCCACUUUGGGAUAACACCGGGAAACCGGUGCUAAUACCGAAUAUUGAAACAUAAGUGGCAUCACUGGGUUUUGAAAGAAUUUCGGUGGAGGAUGACUUCGCGGCCUAUCAGCUAGUUGGUGAGGUAAUGGCUCACCAAGGCAACGACGGGUAGCCGGCCUGAGAGGGCGACCGGCCACACUGGGACUGAGACACGGCCCAGACUCCUACGGGAGGCAGCAGUGGGGAAUAUUGGGCAAUGGAGGAAACUCUGACCCAGCGACGCCGCGUGCGGGAUGAAGGCCUUCGGGUUGUAAACCGCUUUCAGUAGGGAAGAAGCGAAAGUGACGGUACCUACAAAAGAAGCACCGGCUAACUAUGUGCCAGCAGCCGCGGUAAUACAUAGGGUGCAAGCGUUGUCCGGAAUUAUUGGGCGUAAAGAGCUCGUAGGUCGUUUGUUACGUCGGAUGUGAAAACCUGAGGCUCAACCUCAGGCCUGCAUUCGAUACGGGCAAACUAGAGUUUGGUAGGGGAGACUGGAAUUCCUGGUGUAGCGGUGGAAUGCGCAGAUAUCAGGAGGAACACCAAUGGCGAAGGCAGGUCUCUGGGCCAAUACUGACACUGAGGAGCGAAAGUCUGGG